RNAcentral lists this ribosomal RNA (253 nucleotides) under uncultured bacterium. Its description in RNAcentral is "partial 16S ribosomal RNA". It matches the Rfam family "Bacterial small subunit ribosomal RNA", at positions 524 to 776 of the family's 1533-position model. The record is from RNAcentral.
UACGUAGGGUGCAAGCGUUGUCCGGAAUUAUUGGGCGUAAAGAGCUCGUAGGCGGUCUGUCGCGUCGGCUGUGAAAUCCCGGAGCUCAACUCCGGGUCUGCAGUCGAUACGGGCAAACUGGAGUACUGCAGGGGAGACUGGAAUUCCUGGUGUAGCGGUGAAAUGCGCAGAUAUCAGGAGGAACACCGGUGGCGAAGGCGGGUCUCUGGGCAGUAACUGACGCUGAGGCGCGACAGCGUGGGGAUCAAACAGG